GUGGGGAAUAUUGGACAAUGGGGGGAACCCUGAUCCAGCCAUGCCGCGUGUGUGAAGAAGACCUUUUGGUUGUAAAGCACUUUAAGCGAGGAGGAGGCUACCGAGAUUAAUACUCUUGGAUAGUGGACGUUACUCGCAGAAUAAGCACCGGCUAACUCUGUGCCAGCAGCCGCGGUAAUACAGAGGGUGCAAGCGUUAAUCGGAUUUACUGGGCGUAAAGCGCGCGUAGGUGGCCAAUUAAGUCAAAUGUGAAAUCCCCGAGCUUAACUUGGGAAUUGCAUUCGAUACUGGUUGGCUAGAGUAUGGGAGAGGAUGGUAGAAUUCCAGGUGUAGCGGUGAAAUGCGUAGAGAUCUGGAGGAAUACCGAUGGCGAAGGCAGCCAUCUGGCCUAAUACUGACACUGAGGUGCGAAAGCAUGGGGAGCAAACAGGAUUAGAUACCCCAGUAGUCC
RNAcentral lists this ribosomal RNA (451 nucleotides) under uncultured bacterium. Its description in RNAcentral is "partial 16S ribosomal RNA". It matches the Rfam family "Bacterial small subunit ribosomal RNA", at positions 354 to 796 of the family's 1533-position model. The record is from RNAcentral.